AGAGUUUGAUCAUGGCUCAGAUUGAACGCUGGCGGCAUGCCUUACACAUGCAAGUCGAACGGUAACAGGUUAAGCUGACGAGUGGCGAACGGGUGAGUAAUAUAUCGGAACGUGCCCAGUCGUGGGGGAUAACUACUCGAAAGAGUAGCUAAUACCGCAUACGACCUGAGGGUGAAAGCGGGGGAUCGCAAGACCUCGCGCGAUUGGAGCGGCCGAUAUCAGAUUAGGUAGUUGGUGGGGUAAAAGCUCACCAAGCCAACGAUCUGUAGCUGGUCUGAGAGGACGACCAGCCACACUGGGACUGAGACACGGCCCAGACUCCUACGGGAGGCAGCAGUGGGGAAUUUUGGACAAUGGGCGCAAGCCUGAUCCAGCCAUGCCGCGUGCGGGAAGAAGGCCUUCGGGUUGUAAACCGCUUUUGUCAGGGAAGAAAAGGUUCUGGCUAAUACCCGGGACUCA
Molecule: ribosomal RNA, 459 nt
Filed under: uncultured organism
Description: bacterial SSU rRNA
Rfam family: Bacterial small subunit ribosomal RNA
Source: RNAcentral